Molecule: signal recognition particle RNA, 304 nt
Filed under: Vombatus ursinus (common wombat)
Lineage: Eukaryota; Metazoa; Chordata; Mammalia; Diprotodontia; Vombatidae
Description: Metazoan signal recognition particle RNA (ENSVURG00010016399.1)
Rfam family: Metazoan signal recognition particle RNA
About the family: The signal recognition particle (SRP) is a universally conserved ribonucleoprotein. It is involved in the co-translational targeting of proteins to membranes. The eukaryotic SRP consists of a 300-nucleotide 7S RNA and six proteins: SRPs 72, 68, 54, 19, 14, and 9.
Source: RNAcentral
GCCAGAUGUAAUGACACAUGUCCAUAAUCUCUUCUACCAGGAAGGUUGAGCCUGGUGUAUCUCUUGAGUUUGGGGGUUCUAAACUAUAGUAGAGUAAUCUGAUUCCCAUACUAAGUCCAGCAUUAAUAUGGUGAGUACCUAGGUGCAGGGGGGCCACCAGCUUGCCUGAGGAGGGGUGAAAUGACCCAGGCUGGAAAUGGAACAGGUCUAAGUUCCUAUGCUCAUCAGUAGGAGGAGUGGGCCUCUGAAUAGCUCCUGCCCUUUCACCCUUUCAAUCUAGGCUAGAUAGGGGAUCCCAGACUCA